This 127-nucleotide small RNA is filed under the name Marmota monax (woodchuck). The record is from RNAcentral. Lineage: Eukaryota; Metazoa; Chordata; Mammalia; Rodentia; Sciuridae.
GCUGGGCAUAGUGGCACACACCUGUAAUCCCAGAUGUUUAGGAGGCUGAGGCAGGAGGAUCUCGAGUUCAAAGCCAGCCUCAGCAUCUUAGCAAAGCCUUAAGAAACUUAGGGAGAUCCUGUCUCUA